GCAGGACAACAAGCACAGAAUGUACUGUUAGCUUACCGAGUGUUCCCUCAGGAAUGGCUCCUGGGAUCACUGGCAAGCUAACAGUACAGCAAACAAACCAAUCAGCUCGCGCCCUGCAGUGGGCUGAACGAGCUGAGGGAGAAAAAAGAGCGGCAAAAUUUUUUCUAGUGCCGCCCCUUUAAGAUGGGCGCCAGUACGGGCCGCGCAUGCGCGCGCGGCGCUCACGAACGAGAGGCCGCGGCGGGGGAACCCUCCGCCGGGAGAGAGAGCCGGUCCGGUCCUCGAGGGUUCCCUGCGCCGCGUGACCGAUGAGGGGGGUAAUAAACUACCCAGCGGCAAGUGUGGAGCCGGUAUCCCCGCGGGGGGGGGCGGGGUACCGGCGGGACAAUGUGGGAAAGGGGCCCCCCCACGGAGGGUUAGCUGGAAGGGGGGGUGUACACCAAACGCACAAUGCGUUCUGCUGAGUUUAAGUCAGGUCACAAAACAGGCAUAAUUUAAAAUAAAGUCAUACACACAUAUAUAAGUACAAAUGACAGUUAAGAGAAAAAACAA
This is a non-coding RNA of Pelobates cultripes (western spadefoot toad), 552 nucleotides long. The record is from the annotation of a GenBank genome assembly. Lineage: Eukaryota; Metazoa; Chordata; Amphibia; Anura; Pelobatidae.